GCCAGACUCCUACGGGAGGCAGCAGUGGGGAAUAUUGCACAAUGGGGGGAACCCUGAUGCAGCGACGCCGCGUGGGUGAAGGAGCACCUCGGUGCGUAAAGCCCUCUCGGCAGGGAAGAAACAGACGGUACCUGACUAAGAAGCCCCGGCUAACUACGUGCCAGCAGCCGCGGUAAUACGUAGGGGGCAAGCGUUAUCCGGAUUUACUGGGUGUAAAGGGAGCGCAGGCGGCGCGCCAAGUCUGAUGUGAAACCCCGGGGCUCAACCCCGGGCAUGCAUUGGAAACUGGCGGGCUGGAGUGCCGGAGAGGUAAGCGGAAUUCCUAGUGUAGCGGUGAAGUGCGUAGAUAUUAGGAGGAACACCAGUGGCGAAGGCGGCUUACUGGACGGCAACUGACGCUGAGGCUCGAAAGCGUGGGGAGCAAACAGGAUUAGAUACCCGUGUAC
This 446-nucleotide ribosomal RNA is filed under the name uncultured bacterium. RNAcentral's name for it is "partial 16S ribosomal RNA". It matches the Rfam family "Bacterial small subunit ribosomal RNA", at positions 330 to 793 of the family's 1533-position model. The record is from RNAcentral.